GCCUAUGUAAAAAAAAACAACCCCACCUUUCGAUAAAAAGCGAGACUACAAAUAUUCUUGGACAGUGAACUCAAGAACAGAAAUUGAAGAAAUCCAAACAGAAGAUAACCAGAUAUCAGCACCAAACUAUGAUUUCAUUCCGUUUAGCGACCUGCAUACACCUAAAGAAUUCAGCAAACCAAUAGAUAUUUUGGCUAUUGCUCUCAAAAUGAACCCACCAAAAGAAGUCAACACUCCCUAUGGACUACAUACAAUUCAAGAGAUAUAUUUAAUUGAUGAAAGUUGUAGCUUCAAACCAGUAUGUUUGACGAUGUGGGGGCAUAAAGUCUACGAUGAAUGCUUACAAAUAGCAGAAGUAAUCGAAGACAGACC
Molecule: long non-coding RNA, 372 nt
Organism: Cannabis sativa
Lineage: Eukaryota; Viridiplantae; Streptophyta; Magnoliopsida; Rosales; Cannabaceae
Exons: 3
Source: RefSeq, a predicted model, not a curated record